RNAcentral lists this long non-coding RNA (525 nucleotides) under Fukomys damarensis (Damara mole-rat). RNAcentral's name for it is "lncRNA (ENSFDAG00000032868.1)". Lineage: Eukaryota; Metazoa; Chordata; Mammalia; Rodentia; Bathyergidae. The record is from RNAcentral.
CAGGGGCGGAGAGAUCUUUGCACAUACAUACAAGAAUGUUUAACCCAGCAUUAGUUUUGGAGGGUAAACAUUUUGAAAUUAAGUGGUUUCUAUGACUAUGACAAUAUAUUUAUAUCAGACACUAUUACAUUACUAUAAAACAGAAUGAAGUAAUAGUAUACCCAUUGUCUUAAAGAAGUUCCCUCAAGAGACUGUAGAGAGAAAAGAAAAAGACAAAGAAAAAUAGCUACAUUACUAUGUGAGCCAUGCCUGUCGGUAUAGCACCCUCUGAGAAGUAUGGACACUAACAGAUUUUCAGUAUGUCUUACUUAAAUGAGUUUUCCUGUGUUGCAGAAAAGGAGAGAAAAGGAAAGAGGCAGAAUAAAAGACGAAGAGGAACUGAGAAGGAAGACAUGCGAAAAGAUAAUUAAAUCCAGAGGAAAACAGAUUCCAAAAUUAGCUAUGAGAAAAGAUAUGAUGAAAAUUGAUAAUAUAAAGUCAAUCAUCCAGAAAAUACUUUUACCUGCUCACGAUGCACCAUUCUAA